Asterias rubens (European starfish) is the source of this 5225-nucleotide RNA transcript. It is a transcript of the gene named protein FAM13A-like, with no coding region annotated. The record is from RefSeq and is a predicted model, not a curated record. The transcript is spliced from 30 exons. NCBI's taxonomy places the organism in Eukaryota, Metazoa, Echinodermata, Asteroidea, Forcipulatida, Asteriidae.
CAGUGCCAUUGACACAAACAAAAUACUGGAAACAGAAUUUCUGCUGCAGAGAGACAGUCAACAAAAUUCCCGUCGUCGAUGGUAUUGAUUAUGCAAGUGAGGACAUGUUCUAAGCAUGUUCAUUGAGUGGCUCACCUGUGUGGUGUGAACACUGAGUGAAUUGUCACAGCCAACGAAGCGUAUCUUUUAAUUAUAUAGGUGUGUGGUGAGUUGACAAGAAGAGGAUGUACUCGGUAAGCGGACUACGUGUCCGCUAAAAGGAGGCGGUGGAACAGAGAUUCAGUCUCGCCUACAGAUUCAUGAUGGGUCUCCGUUUACUUGUCAGCAGGACACUGAAGCAACCAUAGACUGAGACUGCUUCAUCUACAGUACUUUAUACCCGUAACAACCUGUCUUACUCUAAUUCAUUAUUUAUGAACUACACUUGUAGAAUAUACCUUAAAUCCUGCAGUUUAGACUAGACUAUGCAGAUUGUCCAAAAACGUGCCAAAUGAAUCUCUACGUGCCUUGUGAGGGAGUCUACUCACAAACCUGUACAAUCUAGACAUUGAACCUUUAGUUACCCCUGUCAACAAUAAUUAAUGAAGGACAUCAUUUGUUUGGUCAGCACUGACCAGUCCCCUUCAGCCAAGUGUUGAUGACCAGUAUCCUUGGAUUGGACUAAACAGUGAUUGCAACUACAGUUCAUUGUCUGCCAUUUAAUUGCAUUUUUUUUCCUGAACCUGUUGUUUGGGUUGAGACAGUGUUGCCUGGUAAUAUCCUUACUGGGAGUGAAAUAAUUCCAAAUAUUCUGAUUGACUUUUGUAAACAAUGUCAACAAGAAGUCAAUUAUUUGUGUAGCUGUUAGCUGAACACAUUGUUGGGAAAGCUUUUAUGAUAACGCCGAAUCCCAAUAAAUUUGUUGCCUAGAGGAGAGUUCUUUUGUUCCAGUAUUACCUUGCACAUUCCUGCUAGCUACAACAUUACACUUGGAGAUAUUUUCUUUUUGACUCAUCCCAACGGAGGUGUUUAACUCUUUGCGUUCAUCAACUAUGUGUGUAUUGUGAUCAACUUCUUAGUAAUCAGCUUGAAUACUUCAAGAAUAUCUGCUGCAACUGAGACCAUAAAAGACUUCAAGAAAGGCAGAGACUUGUCGGAGAGACUUGCAGUGCAAAGGAUCAGAAACUUCCUCCUCUGUCUGUAUUUGUUGGAGAGGUGCAAAGGAAGUUCUUACAUCUAAGGGAAGUGUCUCAACAUCAGUUGCCUGAACUUUGUCUAAGAACUGUGCACUGAUCAGCAUUGAAGUAGCUGUAGAUGUGAAGCUCAAAAGCUUGUUAAUCUGAAGUGAGUUUAUUCUACACUUGAUCUGUCUGCAACAUUAAUGAGCCAGAAAUGAGGUCAGCACUCUGUGGUGCAACUAAUGUUGUCGAACCCAACUCUUCUUUACAGGGGUUUGGAUCCACCAACAGUAACAGUAUGCAGAAGAUUCUUCGCUCUCCAGGAACGAUGAAGAAGAAAUUAAACAAUGCUAAGACGUUUGGCGUUCCUUUGAAGGAGCUAGCAAGGGGCCCUAAAGGAGUCAGGGUGCCACUCUUUAUUAGGAAGAUAUGUGACUUCAUCCAGAUGCAUGGCAUUGGCCAUGAGGGAAUCUUCCGUAUCAAUGGCAGUACUCGAGUCGUCGAUAAGAUGAAAGCUAUAAUUGAUAAGACUGGUGAUACAGACUUUGAGGAGGCUGGUGACGUCAUGGCUAUAGCUAGUCUACUUAAGAUGUUUCUAAGGGAGUUACCAGACCCUAUUAUGACCGAGACACUUCAUCAUCAAUUUAUCAAUGUUCAGCAGACUUUCCAGUCCAAUCACGAAGAGUGCGUCAGACAACAGAAGAAUUUGAUUCAACAGCUUCCUGAGGAACAUUACAUCGUACUUCAGUACUUAAUCCGCUUUCUUGUCAUGGUCGCACAGUACGAAUCAACUAAUAAAAUGAACUCUAUGGCACUGGCAAUUGUCUUUGGCCCUAACCUAUUCAGGUGUAGCGCAGGACUAGACGGUCUCCGUGAACAAGGAAUCACAAACAUCAUCGUCCGGACACUAAUCGAGGAAUACGACACCAUCUUCAAAUCCGAUGUUAAAGAUGAGAGUUCAUCACCACCAUCGUCGACCUCAGUGGGGUCAAAGUGCAUACAAGUACAGGCCACUACAUCCAAGAGGUCACCACCGGUCAAACCUGCACCGUACCAUGAUUAUGUGCGACAGAAGGAAGAGAGAAGAAGGAGAUUUGAUUCUGAAGAAACCAAAGACAUAAACAGUAAUUCUUACGCAGACACUGAUAGGGAAAUUCUCAAGAAACCAGAUGAAGGCCGAGACUGCGACUCGCCCAGUUAUCUGCUAAGUCCUCGAGAUGUAGGUGUGGAAGAGAGGGCUUUCUCUCCAUUCAACUUAGAUAGUGAGACAGGGACAAGUACAGCUCCUUCACCGGUCAUUAAUGACAUUGCAUCUGAAUUGGUAGAAAAGACUAUUCAGGAGACGGUUUCUCAACAUCUAUUUGGUCAAAGCCCCGAACCAGACCGAGAUGAAGCAGUUCUUUCUCCAACACCAGCAGUAGUAGCACCUGUGCCUUCACCAAGAAGAAGAUGGCAAAAGACUCAGGAAGAGGAGCAAGAGGAAAGCAAAGAUAACCUUAAUGGCACUGAUUUCCCUGAUGGGCGGAGUCCCUCCCCAAUUGAGGAGAUCUUCACAUCCGUUCAAGAUCGCAUCCGAUCAUUUGCUACUUCAGGACCCUCCACCUCAGCGCCUGAUAAUAAAUCUCCAGAAAGUUCACCCAAGGUCAAGCGGAAACACUACCCAUCCUCAAAAGCUUUUGAAUUAUUUGAGAGUAAAGGAAUAGUCAUCGGCCCUGGAAGUAAUGAGCUUCCGGCACCCAAAAGGAAACAACCAACGACCUCAGCAGUUCAACAAAUCAAGGAAGACCCAAGAACAAACAGUCGUAGUCCGCCAUCAAGAAGUAAAGCCCCAGAGCCACCGUCUCGACCCUCCAGAACGAAAGCAAAUCUAUUAAAAUCUAAAAAUCAUGAUCAGAACUCUCCAGAAUCUAGGUCACCCGUGUCUGGGUCACCGAGGUCAAAAUCACCGAGGUCAGAUUCCCCGAGGUCAAAAUCGCUGAGGUCAAAUUCACCAAGGUCAUAUUCUCCAAAGUCUGACUCUCCUAAGUCGAGAUCUCCGAGAUCCCAAUCACCAAGAUCACAAUCACCAAGAUCACAAUCACCAAGAUCUAAACCAUUUAGUAGCAGUAGAUCUAAUACAGACACGCAUCAUCUAGCCAGCAAGUCGUCGAUUGGAAACAUUGAUGCGGAUUUUGACAGUCUUUCAUGCAACUCACCAACACUGAAAUCGUUGACAGCAGGAAGAAUAGCACCUCCCAGGAAUAGAAGAUCUCCCUCAAAAAGGAAAUCAAAAUCUGAAAUAAACAAGCCGGAGGAGGAAGAAGAAGACGCCACCAGCCUGCCGUUCACCGAGCAGCUCUCCAUCCUCAUCCCAGGCACCCAGUCUACCCUACAAGAGUUUCCAGAUAACACCCCUCAGCCCAAACCAAGAAAGAAACACUCCCACCCUGUUCUGAGUUAUCCCCACCAAGCAUUCGAUGACAGCCACAUCUUGUCGGGGGAGCUGGGCGCCUUAAUUAAUGGGAAGGAUGCUGGGCAGUUAUCUCCACCACGGUCACCGCUAAGACGUGAUCAUACGGUCCCACCGCUGAAUCUAACCAGUCUACAUGAAUAUGCAGAUGGGGAAGAACCGAUUCCAGCUUGGAAAGCAAGGCACCAUUUCCAUGACAACAGUCAAGAGGCUAUGUUAUCCCCACGCUCACUCAAACUGCAGACUAUCACUCAUCUUGCUGAACAGCAACGAGAAGCCCCAUUAUCUCCAAGGGCUGGAGUUAAACCUUUCAACUUCACCAGUGUGUCACAUGACACGGAUGUUCCACCCUCCCCACCGUCAGCGCAGUCCAUACUGCUGGGUUUAUCCAAGAGAGCUGAUAAGCUUCAAGAGGAGACUGAUCUAACCACAGUGAAGCAACUAACUAAACAAAUACGAGUAUUAAAGAGAAAGAUGCGACAGUAUGAGGUAGAGUUUGAAGAGGAGCGCGGCUAUAAGCCAUCUCAUAAUCACAAGACGUCUCAACCUGAGAUUAAGAAGAUGAUGGGAGAGCUAAAGAGAGCAAAUAGACAGCUUAAAGAAGCCAAAGAGAAUGCAGCUAAAGCUAAGGUACCAUUAUCCUCCACCCUACCAUCCGAUAUGCUGUGCGGACGCAGCCUCUCACAGCAGUAUGAGGAUGAAGGCGCAUCAAGUCUUGAGAUGGCUCUACUUGAAACGGAAGAUAGACUUCAAGAAAAGAGAGACGAAGCUCAAAGACCUGAUGAUAUAUUUAUGAUGAACAAAGAACAGGUACAGGAGGAGAAGACAGCGAUCCAGAAAGCUUUAUUACAAAUGGAAAAUAAAUAUGGCAGACCGAGUACCAGGGAAGCCAAGGAGUUGAUGAAGCCUUUGUACGACCGUUAUAGGAAUGUUAAGAAACUACUAGUCAGAUUGGAUCUUAGACAGCCUGAUGAUGGGCAACCUGUGGAUUUACAAACCAUUAAAGAACAUGAAGAAACUAAAGAAUUCCAGCCCAAACAAAUGGGUCAGAUUCACAGCCUGUAUCGUGAGGAUGAAGAAUCUGAAGAGAUGCAAACAACGGAUUUCACUGUCACUCAGGAUGUGAAGGGACUUCUGAGUCAUAUAGACCUGGAUGAUAGCUAUCCUAGUCCUGCUGAGAGUCGACGGAGUAGUAGUGGAGGGAGGGAAGAGACUGCUUCGGAAAUGGCCUCCAAUCUCCAUGAGGCAUCAUUAAGUGAAUUAUUAGCCAGGCAGAAUCAGUCUAGAGAAGACAAGAAGAGACUACGCAAAAUCCUCAAAGAGUUUGAAGAUAACUUCUUCAAGGAGUCAGGUCGCCAUGUACAGAAGGAGGACCGAAUCCCAAUGGAAGUUCAGUAUAAUGAAUAUAAGCAAAUCAAGGCUAAGCUUCGUCUUCUAGAUGUGUUGUUGUCCAAGCGCAUUGAGUGCGCAUAGUGGGCUUUGUAGUUAAGAGUGACUGUACAGUGUUAGUUGUAUCCCAGUUCUGUCUUACUUUGCAUCUUAAGAAACAUCAGAAGUUAUUAGAAGCUCUUGUUGCCAAGCAUCAGACUCAAGGAUCACCUCUUGAAGAGACUACACGA